Molecule: long non-coding RNA, 603 nt
Filed under: Equus caballus (horse)
Lineage: Eukaryota; Metazoa; Chordata; Mammalia; Perissodactyla; Equidae
Description: lncRNA (ENSECAG00000054717.1)
Source: RNAcentral
CCAGAGGACUGCAUCAUUCACCAAGGCCAUGAGAAACGUGCUCAUGAAAGGGGCACUAGCAUCACUAAGAAGUUCCGUGGUGGCUUUUCUCUGCAGGCCAGGGCUGAUGGUAGGAGAGGUGGUCACAGAGCUGAGUUACUAAUAUCUAUGGAGAUGCCACCAUGAAGUAAUAGAGGCCAGGUGGGAGCAUCAAAAUGCCUGAAUACGAGAGGCAGCAAUUACUAUAUGACCAACAAGAUUGGAUGAACAACGAAGAAGGCUGGACUCAAAGGUGCCACUUCCCCUCAGCCUCUGGGACAAUUGUGAAUUGGUUACCUCCAUCUUGCUUCCCCUCAGGCCUGAGAUUGAAGGGGGACCCACACUAUGGAGAAGGUCACAGUAAAUCUGGAAAGAGUCACAUGAAGCUCAUCGUUCUGAACAUCCCAAUUCUACUUGUCAAGGAUGCCUGGAAAGAGACACUGAAGAGAACAGCACAGAAUAUGGAAACCCUGGAGAAGGGAGAACAACUUCAUUGCUAAGAUCAAAAUCAUCCUCGUUUUGAUAUAACCACCAUAAACUAGAAAAAAAAAGGGGGGUUUCAUCUAUACAAGAACUAAUCCUUGG